AAGAAAAGGAGGGGAAGGGCAUAGAACACAUCUAGGAGAAGGGGACACCUCUUUCUCAAAGAGCAGGUCAGAGGAGACUUCUCUGAUAAGGUGCCAUUGACCGGGACCUGGAUGAAGUUAGAACCUGAAACAAACAAAUAUCUGGAUGAGAGCUUUGUCUGACUGAGAGAAGAGAAAGUAAAGAGGUCCCAGGACCUGAGACUACCGGAUGUGUUGACAGAAAAGAACAAGCCCAGGGUUGCCGGAGUGGGUAGAAAAACAGAUGCAGUGAGAUUAGGUGACUUUCUCCAGAUCACCCACACCCACCAAAUCAGGAGUGGAACACAGGUCUCCCCAUGGAUUAGUGACAAAAAAGCUCACAGGGAGAGACGGAACGUUCCAUGUCAAGGGAUCUAUUUCAGAUUUUAUUUAUUUGAGAAAGAGAGCAUGGGGGCCAGAGGAAGAGGAAGAAGCAAACUCCCUGCUGAGAAGGGAGCUCGACAAAGACUCAAGACUCCAUCCCAGGACUUUGUGAUCAGGACCCAAGCUGGAGGCAGACGUUUUACUUACUGAGGCACCCAGGCGCCCCAACCUUCAC
Molecule: long non-coding RNA, 577 nt
Filed under: Mustela putorius furo (domestic ferret)
Lineage: Eukaryota; Metazoa; Chordata; Mammalia; Carnivora; Mustelidae
Description: lncRNA (ENSMPUG00000031661.1)
Source: RNAcentral